This 207-nucleotide ribosomal RNA is filed under the name uncultured bacterium. RNAcentral describes it as "partial 16S ribosomal RNA". It matches the Rfam family "Bacterial small subunit ribosomal RNA", at positions 568 to 774 of the family's 1533-position model. The record is from RNAcentral.
CACGUAGGCUGCUUGGUAAGUCAGGGGUGAAAUCCCGCGGCUCAACCGCGGAAUUGCCCUUGAUACUGCUGGACUUGAGUCCGGGAGAGGGUGGCGGAAUUCCAGGUGUAGGAGUGAAAUCCGUAGAUAUCUGGAGGAACAUCAGUGGCGAAGGCGGCCACCUGGACCGGUACUGACGCUGAGGUGCGAAAGCGUGGGGAGCAAACA